This is a long non-coding RNA of Carassius auratus (goldfish), 2618 nucleotides long. RefSeq lists it as uncharacterized. The transcript is spliced from 3 exons. The record is from RefSeq and is a predicted model, not a curated record. NCBI's taxonomy places the organism in Eukaryota, Metazoa, Chordata, Actinopteri, Cypriniformes, Cyprinidae.
AAGAGAUAAAUACUAAUACAGCCAUCCAUGCAGUAUCGGGUCCUGUUGGCCUUCUUUAAACUAUGCGACCACCAGUUCUUACCGAAUACCAUAUUAAACAUUUCCAGUAGCCAUUGGAAAGAAAUGACAUUUCCUUCCUCUUCGCCACAAAGACAUUCAACUUGAACUGAGUUUAAUUGGAAAUUAUGAUGUCUACAUACAACAUGCAUUCUCUCUUAUAAGCGUAUGUGAAUUGUAUAGAGAGUAUAUAAGUGUAGGUUUUAAAACUGAAAUGCUUUCUGUUUGUCUUCCCCUUUGACCCAAACAAGCAAGAGGAAGUUCACAGUCUCCAAGGCACCAGAUUACGCCAUUGAUCCGAACCCAAAAUGGCUCCAUGUCUGGCAUUUUCAGAGGCCGUUCCCAAGUCAAUGUCAUCCUAUCUGCCUCAAACUAAAAGAGACAAAUACGACUGGUUUAAGGUAUCUGCCUCAUUAGGAGGCACCACAGAUCAGAGCGUAAAUAGUUUAGACUGAUUCACUGACCAACAAAAUAGCGCCAGGGCUUCAGUUCAAUAAAAUUCAUCUUGUAGUCUCACAAAGUGCUGCUUAGUUGCACACUCCGAUAUUACCUUGGUAUACUACCAUGUCCAAAACACUCUUAGUACUUUUUUGUUUGUACAAAGUUAGACUGGAAAUGUAGUGUCAUUUUUGUUUUCAUUGUCAUAAUGAUUUAUUCAGAGCUCCCUUCUAGUGAAAAGUUCAAUGCACUGACGGUUUAGGAUUUUAACAUAAUAGAUGUUGUUAGCUCUUGCGAUGUAUUCAUACUUUACAUUUGAAAUGCUAACCAUAGAAAAGUGCUUUAGCAGGGCCAUAACUGAAGCCUUCUCUUGCAGGUAAAGAUGGAGUGGUUGUCUUGCUGUUGUGCUGGUAUCAGACAUGGGCUCUUCAUCAGAUGACUUAUGGAGUUGUGCAGCUAACCAGGAGGCCCAAGGCUGUUUGUUAGCUCUUAACAAGAAUAAGCCAAGCUGUGUGCUCGCCAGAUCCAGUACGAGCACUUAGAAGAAGCAGACUACCAUUACAGAAAAGUUUUGCGCACAGCUCAUCCCUCCACUGCCUGUAUGCUUUAUUGACCUUGAUGGCAGCCCAAGUGGGACACUCUUCCCAAGAACCGUCUGGCCUCCGUAAGUAUAUCUGCGUCCUUGGCGAGAGAUGUGAUCACGGUCGCUCAGUUAGAGCUUGCAGGGCAGCCAGAUGUCUUUCUCAUGGCCUUCAAAGUAUUGUCUCUCCAGCUGUUUAUUUAUUAAUGUUGAGUUCACACUGCGAUAACUCUCACCCUGCAAAUACUGUUUAUUAUACCAGAACCAUGAGAAGUGGCAAGUAUUUAAAGAUGAAUGUAAAUACAUUUUUACAUUUUCUAAAGAAAAUGUGAGUUAGUGCUCAUCUGCGCAGGGGGAAAAGCCACUGUACAGUUUUGUCAGUGCUUGCUUACUCAUUAUAUAUAUGAUCUUUAAAUAAUAUCAGCCUUUAAAUGCUAAAUACUUAAAGUGUACCUGAAGUAUACAGUUCCACUUUAGCACAAAUAUACUAAGUAUAUCUUUAAUUGGACUUCAGCACUACUUUCGCACAAUUAAAGUGCAUUAAAUUAGUUGUUACAAUUAAGCAGACUUUAAGUAUACCAGUUUAGUAUACUAAAUGUACUAUUGUAAGGUAUUUUAUUAAGCACAUAAAUAUGAAAAUGUAUUUGUAGUAUAUACUUAGCAUUUCAAAUACAUUUAAGUAUGUUUAUUUUUAACUAGGGUUGUUUGGAAGUAAAAACAAUCAUUAAGAUUUUUAAAAAUAUAUAUAAUCAGAGUAUUGAUGUUAUGCAUCAGGGGCUUAAUACAUUAAAGAAUAUCAAUCUAUGCUUUAAGGUCAUCGUCACAGUCUCUGAACAAGCUCAAGUUUCUUAAAACGUCUGGUUUCUCUCACUCUGGUUAGUUCAGAGAAGGACAGGUAAUCUAACACCAUGAAAGCCAUCUCGAUCGCUCUCUUUCCCUCCCUCUUCUCUGUUCUUCUUUUGCGUGUUCCUGUUCUGGUAAGAGAAGAUCUGUCUCUUUUUAAUGAAACUCCCCGUCACACCCAUCUCCCAUCUGGUAUGUGUGCAUAUAUGUGUGUGUGAGGUGGUGGGAGGAGAUGGCUAGUGUGUGUGUGUGUGUGAGAGAGUACAGAAGUAACCAGAGAGAAUAACAUGUGUAUGUAUGUGUGGUGUCAUUACAACAGGAAGCCUUUGCUCUGAUGAGAGGUCUCACUUCCUGUUUAUAGAGCAACCACUGGAGCGCAACAAUAGCUGGAAUUUUGAUGGAUCGGCAGAGAGGACGCCCAACUCACACCCUCCAGAGAAAAGAUUUCGUUUUUCACUCUUGCUGACAACAGUCCGACACAAUCUGUGAGAAAUCAGCAGCAAUACAUUCAGUGUUCCUGAUCAGCUGUAAAGGAACAGGCAAGUCCCUCUGUAAACAGUACCUAAAGCAGUUUUACAAACUAAUACAUUCAUAAGUUCAGUUUAUAAUGUUAUUGUAUCAUAUUUGAACCCUAAAAUUACAAUUAUUUUAUUUUACUACAAUUCAUGAUUUUCAAAACAUGAUCAGUUAAUCGAAUACA